UCUUCAUGAUCGCAACUGCCAGAGAGCUAGCUCUGACUGCUGCAGUUUUCCAGUCGCAGUGCGGCAAAGCAGACGCUGCAGCAGCCCACAAAGCUGCAAUGGGAUUAGUUUCACCUGUGCCGCCGGUCUGAUGGGAGGAAAAUAUUAUCGGGAGCGGAAUAGGAAAAGAAACUGCCUGCUGGAUUUACAGGUUAAUUUUCCUGGCAUGCAGUGCUUGCAGUUAAGCAGAGGGACCAUGCAAGAGGUCUGUGUCCACAAUGUGGCACGAGAGCCUAGGAUAAAGGAUGCCUUACCUCCCUGGCUCUUUAUAAAUAUUCCCUGUACCAUGCCGACAUACCUGCAAGGGCGAGACAAAAGGAUACAGUACUUUUCAUCUACCGUCUGAUCAAGGCCUUUUUGUUUUGCAAACCUCGCAGCCUGAUGUUCCAGUUUUAACUGAGAUCAGGGAUCACAAUAAUAACACGGACUGACAACAGUUUCUGCCUCUUGCUUAGCACAAAACUCAAAUUAGAGGCCAGGCUUGCUGACCUACUUCCCUUCAAAUCAUUGGUGGAUGCAGGGCAGCAGCUAUCUUGCACCAAGCAUCACUGGCCAUUGUGUGGAGAAUCCCAGGGAAUGCAGUGUCUGACUGCUGGAGCCUGUGGAAAAUGGAGUUACUCACAGUUACACUAUCUACUGCAGUUUUAAGCAGCUAUAAAACCCCAGACCAUCUGAUUUUCAGUGUGGCUCUGCGGCAGCGUUUGGAUUAAAAUGUCUUUUAAUACCUGUCUUUAUCUGAGCUUCAACUACCGGAAUUAGUAUAUUAAUCUGCUCAUUCUACCUGAAGGAUUUAACAGAAUAAAUGGGAUGCUGCUGAGGGAAAGAAAUUAUACCAGGAUAACAAGAAGAAGCAGUGUAUCAUCACCUGGAAUGCAACCGUUCGCUUGACUCUGUAACCCUGAUUGUAUCUUUGCAUAUUUCUGUCUCAAGUUCAGAAGCUCCAGCCAAGGCCAGGAUGUCUUAUCUAAUGAGCCAAAAAAAAUUACAGUCAGUGAUGGUUGCAUUAGGAGACAGUAGCACGUUUAUGUUGCUGCCAAUUUGAUGCAUAUCAGCAUAGCCCCUCAAGGGACAGUUCUACAAAGGGGGACAGAGGAUUGCUAUUGAAGGAAUCAAAAAAAAAAUGUAAGUCUCAUGGAGAGUCUGCAGUGCAAAAUGCCACAGAAACCCUUCGCACAUAGCAAUUCCAGCAGACACUUGCAACUGAAUAAUUCAUGGAUUAAAUCAUCCCGGAUUCACCUUUUUGGAUAGGUUGGUAUGAUUGGAAUUUUGUAUAUAUGUAGAAAAAUUCAUACAUAAAUUUUCAAUUUGGAUCUGACAGGCUGUCAAAAUGUGGGUGCUUUGUAUGCAAAAAUAUCCUUCUAAUCAUGUGGUAAUAAGACUGCGAGGAUUGCACUUCCAUCAUGAGGCUGUAUUCAGUGAAAGUUCAGCAUAUUAAUGAUGAUAGAAGCAAAUUCAUAAUCUUGAUGGCUUUUACCUUUACUCUGUUUUUCCCCAUUUAAUUGUACUGCUUCGGAACUCCGCAUAAUUUGGAAAUCUUAUCCAUUUUUCAAAGCUGUUGCUAUGUCAGGAUCAACUCUCCUCUUCGGUAAUACGUAAGCCCUCUUCUGAUAUUGUGUCGGUGUAAGUCAAGUACACAGAGCUACGCAGUUUAAAUGCAGUGACUUUAACCCAAUGGCUGAUUCUGAGCCAAAAAUAAAGAUCCUUAAAAAGACCGGAGCACAGCGUUCACUUCAGCACUCAGUGCAGACUGUAUUGCUGAUUCCAUUGUUCCCGGGGAAUCCCACUUAUAUGUAUGCGCAGAGGAUGAGGACUAUGUAGAUGGCAAAGAAGACUAUCAAGCUGUGCAGGUUUUGCCCGUUUUCUAACCUUCCAGAACUACAGUCCUGGCAAUUUUCAUUGAGAGAAGUGUUAAUUGAAAUCAGCAUUUGUAGAAUCGUCUACAAAAUAUACUCACACCUGUCUAGAAAGCUCCUGGUUCGUAAUUUAUCAUCAUAAAAGCUAUAUAGAAGUCACGGACAGAAAAUGAAAACAAUUACUAACAUAACGAAUUCAGCUUUGUUGAAAGAUGGUCUUGUAGAUCUGUCAGAUUACUUCAGCACUGUUCAUCUACCACCAGUAAAACAUCAUAAACUAGACAGCCAAGAAGUUUAUCUGGCCACGCAGCAGCAAUUCGGAAGCAGGAGAUGAACCUUUAAGGCAUCCUGUCACUCAGUUCAUCAGUAAUGGCCAAUGGCAGAGGUUAGCCGAGAUCUGAGAGCUUCUUCUGGUAAAGGGUGAGCUGGAACCUACAGAGGAAACAAAUGCAACCAUGGUCCCAGGUCCUGAGGCAACAAGUUCAGAUGAGAAUUCUAAUGGAGCUCUCUACAGUCAGAUACGCAUUGUGAAACUCUUGGUACACUUUCAAACCCAAAUGAAGAUAUGCAUGAGAUAUCAUAGGGUGAGGAGUACAGCAACAACCCGCCAUACAGCCGGGAGCCAAUUAGUGUGAACCAACAGGUUGUUGAGUGUACUAGAGAAAAGAGGUUUAGCAGCAUUGUGGGAGGGAGCAUAGCUGUGGCAGAAUGGAGCCCUCAUGGGCUGUCAAGCAUUCUGCUCUAUCAUAGGCCAGCAUGGUAACAUAGUGGUUAGCACAGCGCAUUGCAGUACCCGCGGCCCGGGAUAGUUCCUGCCACUUCCUCUGAGGAGUUGGCACUUUCUCCCCAUGGUCGGGUGGGUUUCCUCCGGGUGCUCCGGUUUCCUCCCACAGUCAAAGGUGUACCAGUCAGUAGAUUAAUUGGUCAUUAUAAAUUGUUCCAUGAUUAGGCUAGGGUUAAAUUGAAGGAUUGCUGGAGAGGGCAGCUCAAAGGGCCGGAGGAGCCUUUUCUGCACUGUAUCUUAAUAAGUAAAUAAAUCCAUUUUUGAGUCUGAACCCAUCCAUAGUGUCAUUUCAACUGUUUGGAAGAUCUCACCUUAUCCUCUCCCCUCACCGCGCGCGCGCGCACACACACACACACACACACACACACACACACACACACGCGCGCGCACACACACACACACACACACACAGCCUGUGUCAUACCUUUCAUUUACUGACCGUUACUGACCGCCUACCUAAUAAAUAGUUAUCCAUGAACAACCAAGUAUAAUUAUAUAGUAAUCUAAAAAUUAAUUUAUACUAUUAGAUGAGUGUCAUGCAGCAUGCCAAGGGGUGUUUCAGUUGUAGGCUUGUUGUUACAACAUUCUGAGACAAGACCCUAGGUGUUACUGAUGGAUUGUUUUGUCGAGAAAGAAAGGAAAAUUCUGAUUCUGGAACUGGGGGUAAGGGGUAUGGGUCUAGGAGUUUUAAAGAGAGAGAGAGAGAGAUGACCAUCAGUCAAGGCCCAAAUGAAACUAUGAUAGUGGAGGUAGUGGCAGGAGACCAAACCCAGAGAUGGAAAUCCAAGCCUGGGGAUAUGCCAGAGAGGUCGGGGUGGGGGGGCGGGUUUCAAAAUCGGGACCAGGGAAUUUGUCAGGAUAUCAUGGCAAUAUGAGAGGCAAUAUUGACAACCCCCCACACCCCAGCCCCCAAGGAGAAGAAGCAAAUUUUUAAAAAUCCUACCCAGGUUGAGUUCCCAGAACUGGGUUAUAACAAAAGUCAACACAAGCCAUUAGCAGCGGGUUGUAGUCUCCCAAGGAAAUCCCUCUUAAACAGAGGCAGCAUUGCUGUGAUAGUAUGAGAGUUCAGAGUGUAACCAAUGACAAGUAUUUCCUUGCCACACUGUGACCUAUCUCCCCAGGCUUAACACAGGGAAUGACAUUUGAUAUGGAAAUCACGUUAUUCAUCCAAGAUUAAAUUAUCCUGUGACUUUUCUGCAGUGGUGCUGUUCAGCUCAGAAAUGGCUGCAAUUGCAUACCAUUCCAAAAGCAAUCUUCACUGAAAAACAUUUUUGUGCAAUUACAUUUCUAGCCCAAGACAUCCAAGGCAAAUUGAGUAUAGUUUCUCUGCUUUUAAAAUAGUAAAAAAAAUCUGAAUGCAGUUCACAAGAGGCUGGCAAUUUAAACUGACUUGUCAAUCUGUUGGCUGACACAAAUACAUACUAAAUGACCCAUCUUUUAUUAGUUACCUUUCUAAGAAAGCACAGCUGCUUGUAAACACAGGUGUCUGCCUCUGAGCAGGUCAUAAUAGAGAAAGAGGAGCAGUAAAUGUUUUAAAUCAGGCUUGCCUGAAGAAAGGCUUUAGAUACAUAUACAGCUUGUUCAAAAGUACUCGGAAUAAAGAAAUGUACAAAUCGUUUCAGCAUGAAAAAGGUGUGGCCUUUGAUUCAAACAACUUAUUGUUAAUUCAUUGUCUGACAUAAUUAUAUACCAAGAUUACUAAGAAACUGAACAGCUCCAUAGUCUUCUCUUUUGCCAAGAUGAGGCCACCCUCAGGGUGGGGGAGCAACACCUCAUAUUCCGUCUGGGUAGCCUCCAACCUGUUGGUAUGAAUAUCGAUUUCUCCUUCCAGUUAAAAAAUAAUCUCUCUCCAUUCCCUCUUCUAUUUCCUCACUCUGGCCUUUUACCUCUACUCAACUUCUUAUCACUUCCCCCUGGGUCCCCUCCUCAUUCUCUUUCUCCCACGGUGCACUCUCCUCUCCUAUCAGAUUCCUUUUUCUCCAGUCCUUUUCCUUUCCCUCUCACUGGGCUUCACCUAUCACCUCCUGCUAACCUCCUUCCCCUCCCCCUACCUUUUUUUAUUCUGGCGUCUUCCCCCUUCCAUUUCAGUCCUGAAGAAGAGCCUCGGCCCAAAACGUUGACGGUUAAUUCCUUUCCAUAGAUGCUGCUUGACCUGCUGAGUUCCUCCAACAUUUUCUGUGUGCAGCCUAGACCUUGGAUUGCAUAGAUCAACAUUUUGUGUGCUACUUGGUUAAAACUGAAAAUUGAGGUGUAUGGAAAAUAAGAAGACUUUCCUUUCCCAUAAUCACCCACCAGUGAC
Molecule: long non-coding RNA, 4975 nt
Organism: Mobula hypostoma (lesser devil ray)
Lineage: Eukaryota; Metazoa; Chordata; Chondrichthyes; Myliobatiformes; Myliobatidae
Exons: 3
Source: RefSeq, a predicted model, not a curated record